GGUGGUUCGCCGUCGGCGACGUCGCGAGAAGUCCACUAAACCUUAUCAUUUAGAGGAAGGAGAAGUCGUAACAAGGUUUCCGUAGGUGAACCUGCGGAAGGAUCAUUGUCGAAACUUGCAAAAAGACCCGUGAACUAGUUAUCAACACGUGGGGGAGUGUUGGGAGAUAUCCCUUAGCUCCUUCGUGCCAGUGGUGGGUAACUGUGUCGUUAUACCGGCAUGAUUGACCAACAUCUGGACAAACUAACCAACCCCGGCGCGGCAUGCGCCAAGGAACUUUGCAAUAAAUGUGGAAACGCCACCGGUCGUUCCGAAAAUCGGAUAAAGCGGCCGUGUUGUUGGACCACUUUUUCAUUACAAAACGACUCUCGGCAACGGAUAUCUAGGCUCUUGCAUCGAUGAAGAACGUAGCGAAAUGCGAUACUUGGUGUGAAUUGCAGAAUCCCGUGAACCAUCGAGUCUUUGAACGCAAGUUGCGCCCGAAGCCUCUUGGCCAAGGGCACGUCUGCCUGGGUGUCACACAUCGUCCCCGCCGAAACAAAUACUCCUUGUAAGGUGUUUGGUAAGAGGAUGGGCGGAUAAUGGUCUCCCGUGCGUGGUUGCUCGCGGUUGGCCUAAAAAUAAGUUCCUGGUGAUAGCAAGCCAUGACCAGCGGUGGUUGAAAGACCCUCGAUGGGCGUCGUGAGAACUUGCAUCGCAUGUUGGGAGAUUCUGACCUUGAUCGUGUUUAAGCACAUAUCAAACACUCAUGAAGUGACCCCAGGUCAGGCGGGACUACCCGCUGAGUUUAAGCAUAUCAAUAAG
This 804-nucleotide ribosomal RNA is filed under the name Hypericum aff. japonicum PBH-2008. RNAcentral's name for it is "eukaryotic LSU rRNA". The stretch from base 364 to 519 matches the Rfam family "5.8S ribosomal RNA". Lineage: Eukaryota; Viridiplantae; Streptophyta; Magnoliopsida; Malpighiales; Hypericaceae. The record is from RNAcentral.